RNAcentral lists this small nuclear RNA (95 nucleotides) under Mus pahari (shrew mouse). RNAcentral describes it as "snRNA (MGP_PahariEiJ_G0033751.1)". Lineage: Eukaryota; Metazoa; Chordata; Mammalia; Rodentia; Muridae. The record is from RNAcentral.
GUGUUCGGUUUGGUAGCACAUAGACUAAAUAAAGUUGGAACAAUACAGAGAAGACAGACUUGGCCUCUGAGCAAGACCCUCAAGUUAUUAAAUUU